GCCAAGAAUCAUAAAAGGAUGCACCUAAUGAGGGAGCUGUACAAAUUUGGAACAACUUCCAAAACAGGCAUUCAAGUAUUUUCGUCUGCUACCAGUAAGCUGCCAGAGCAAGAUAGCUGGGAUGUCGAGUCCCUAGGGCAAUGGUGAAUCACAAAUUGCCUGAUGUUCGAUGGGAAGCAUCAAACAAUACCAAUGUCGAGUAGUAAGAUCUGAUUGUUCAGCUGAUCAAGCCAAGAUAAGUGUGUGUGCAUCCCCUUUUAGUCCAGAUUUAGAAAAAUAUGAUUUCUGCUAUGAUAGUUUCCAGAACAGUUUGGCCCUUGAGACACUUCCUUUGUAUGUGUGUGUGGUCCUUUUCUUUCCAAAGAUAUGCAUGUCUAUAGAUAUUAUUGGAAUUGGUUCGACAAACAGUGUAUAUGUGACAAAUUUACUAGUAUACUGAUAUGGAAUGAAAUAAAUAUCCAUGCUUUCUGACACA
This is a non-coding RNA of Triticum urartu, 475 nucleotides long. Lineage: Eukaryota; Viridiplantae; Streptophyta; Magnoliopsida; Poales; Poaceae. The record is from RefSeq and is a predicted model, not a curated record.